AUGUUGAUGCAAGACUACUUCACGGACAAUCCAACAUAUCCAUCGCACCUCUUCCGGAGAAGGUACCGAAUGCGCCGAUCCCUCUUUGUGAAAAUAGUGGAAGCUUGCGAGGCCAAUUGUCGGUAUUUUACUCAAAGAAGAAAUGCCGCGGGCUUGAAGGGAUUUAGCGCAAAUCAAAAAAUCUUGGCAGCUAUGCGGGUAAUUGCAUAUGGCAUUCCGGCUGACUAUGUCGAUGAGUACCUUCGCGUUGUUGAUGAUACUACAAUUGAGUCAGCGCGUAGGUUUGCCAAGUGA
This 294-nucleotide ribosomal RNA is filed under the name Triticum aestivum (bread wheat). RNAcentral describes it as "partial small subunit ribosomal RNA". Lineage: Eukaryota; Viridiplantae; Streptophyta; Magnoliopsida; Poales; Poaceae. The record is from RNAcentral.